This 301-nucleotide ribosomal RNA is filed under the name uncultured bacterium. RNAcentral describes it as "partial 16S ribosomal RNA". It matches the Rfam family "Bacterial small subunit ribosomal RNA", at positions 509 to 807 of the family's 1533-position model. The record is from RNAcentral.
CAGUAGCCGCGGUAAAACGGAGGGGGCUAGCGUUGUUCGGAAUUACUGGGCGUAAAGCGCACGUAGGCGGCUUUGUAAGUCAGAGGUGAAAGCCCGGGGCUCAACCCCGGAAUUGCCUUUGAGACUGCAUCGCUUGAAUCCAGGAGAGGUGAGUGGAAUUCCGAGUGUAGAGGUGAAAUUCGUAGAUAUUCGGAAGAACACCAGUGGCGAAGGCGGCUCACUGGACUGGUAUUGACGCUGAGGUGCGAAAGCGUGGGGAGCAAACAGGAUUAGAUACCCCAGUAGUCCCUGUCUCUUAUAC